UGUCCAGGGAUGGGAAUCGAACCCACAAUGUCCCGCUUACCGGACAGAUGCCAUGUCCACUAGACUACUCUGGAC
This 75-nucleotide transfer RNA is filed under the name Cordylochernes scorpioides. Its description in RNAcentral is "tRNA-Thr". Lineage: Eukaryota; Metazoa; Arthropoda; Arachnida; Pseudoscorpiones; Chernetidae. The record is from RNAcentral.